GGAUAACUUACCCUUUAGGACUGGGAUAACUCUGGGAAACUGGGGAUAAUACCGGAUAUUAGGCUAUGGCUGGAAUGCUUUGCCUUUGAAAUGUUUCUUGUAUUCGCCUAAGGAUAGAUCUGCGGCUGAUUAGGUCGUUGGUGGGGUAAUGGCCCACCAAGCCUAUGAUCGGUACGGGUUGUGAGAGCAAGAGCCCGGAGAUGGAACCUGAGACAAGGUUCCAGACCCUACGGGGUGCAGCAGGCGCGAAACCUCCGCAAUGUACGAAAGUGCGACGGGGGGAUCCCAAGUGUUAUUCUUAAUAGGAUAACUUUUCAUUAGUGUAAAAAGCUUUUAGAAUAAGAGCUGGGCAAGACCGGUGCCAGCCGCCGCGGUAGCACCGGCAGCUCAAGUGGUAGCUGUUUUUAUUGGGCCUAAAGCGCUCGUAGCCGGUUUGAUAAGUCUUUGGUGAAAGCUUAUGGCUUAACUGUAAGAAUUGCUGAAGAUACUGUCAGACUUGAAGUCGGGAGAGGUUAGAGGUACUACCGGGGUAGGGGUGAAAUCCUAUAAUCCUGGGAGGACCACCUGUGGCGAAGGCGUCUAACUGGAACGAUCUUGACGGUGAGUAACGAAAGCCAGGGGCGCGAACCGGAUUAGAUACCCGGGUAGUCCUGGCCGUAAACGAUGUGGACUUGGUGUUGGAAUGGCUUCGAGUUGUUCCAGUGCCGAAGGGAAGCUGUUAAGUCCACCGCCUGGGAAGUACGGUCGCAAGACUGAAACUUAA
RNAcentral lists this ribosomal RNA (763 nucleotides) under uncultured archaeon. Its description in RNAcentral is "bacterial SSU rRNA". It matches the Rfam family "Archaeal small subunit ribosomal RNA", at positions 102 to 859 of the family's 1478-position model. The record is from RNAcentral.